Molecule: long non-coding RNA, 5610 nt
Filed under: Heterocephalus glaber (naked mole-rat)
Lineage: Eukaryota; Metazoa; Chordata; Mammalia; Rodentia; Bathyergidae
Description: lncRNA (ENSHGLG00100042605.1)
Source: RNAcentral
AGCCAGUGCCCCUCGGGACAAAAAAGGGAAACCGAAGGGAUGCUAUCACAUGGAGGACGAGGCCCGGCCCGGCUGGGCCAGAGCCCGGAGGCACCAUCUCGUCGUAAUUCAAGUCUUCUUCCACGUGGCACUGCACCCACGGCCACGCAGGAUGUGCCCCUCCACCCCUCUCAGAGCGACUCCUAGAGGAGAUUCAUUUAUCUGUACAUCUGUGCACUUUCCUAUCGGAGACCUCGGAUGCUUUUGUCUUGAUAAAAGGUGGCUGACAUAUGGAGGAUCCUGGCCUGGAGCACCCAAGGCCCUGUACCAGGCUCUGGACCGAAGGGAAAACUCCCUGACUGCUCAGCCAGAGAGGAAGCAGCCCCCUGGUGACCUGAGUAGCCUUUAGUGUCCCUCGCCCUGUCCAUCUGGCUUUGUGACGCCCUUCUGCUCUGUCCCCUGCCUGCCUGGGACCCUGAUGCUGGGUGGGCAGGCAGGGAGUGGCUGUCUGGCCCGUGGGUGGGACACUGCCUGGUACCAGGUCCGGAGGUGUUUCCCCGCUCCCUUCAUGCCAGGCCUGGGGACCCUCAGAUAGAGGCUGUCCCCUGGGGAAGGUGGGCACGCGUCUGUCCCCUGGCCCAGCCUGUCCAGGGGGCGGGGACUCUGUGGUUCCAGCUGAGGGGCAGUGGCCUUAGGGCCCAGGGCAGGCCAAAGUGUAUGUCCUAGAGUGGGCAGGGCCUGAAACUGACAGCCACUGUGGGAGGGGCAGAGGGUCCCCAUCUGCCGGAAGUGUGGUUGCAGGCAGGCGCAGCUCCAGCCCCGGCAGAGAGGGUCGUGGUCACAGGGUGGCCCAGCAGUCCCACUCCCCUCUGGGUACAGACUUCCCUGUCCAGACGCCCCUGGGCCACAGACACCUAGGGAACCAGACCACCUGGGGGCAGGCGUCAUCUCUCUCCUGUCCCUUUGGGGCACCAUGUACUUUGCUGAGUUCUUGGAGGGCCGGGACUGGACCCAGUGGCCCUGUCUCCCAGGCAGCCUGCCUGAUUCCCUGCAGGAGCAGCCUCCGGGAGCCUCGGCCCAUCUCCUGGGUACAGCGCUGGGGUGCCUCUGUGGUACUGUGCGGUGGCCUGGCUGGCCUGAGGGUGGAGAGGAGCUGGGAGUUUCCCUGGGGACCCGGGAGACAGACUCUCCGAGCGUGAGGAGGGAACCCUGAGCACGUGCAGCAGGAGCGCACUGGCUGGGCUCUCUGAGGAAGGUGUGGAGACACAGUGUCAUGGAUCCCUGGGGAUUGCUGGGCCCUCGCUGAGCCCCAGGUGUCCUUGUCUGCAGUGUGGCUCUUUCUCUGAACCCCCAGAGGCCAGACCCCUAAGCCCCUUCCACUGUGGCUGGCUUCCCACACACCUGUCUUCAUCCAGAUCCGAGGGGGGCAGGAGUGGGGUGCCCCGGGAGGUGGGGAGCAUUGCAAGGGGGCCCUGAGCAAAGCAGGGGCUGGGUUUUGCUGCUCGCAGAAUGGGGGAACCUGUGUGUUGCCAAGUCUCCGCUGGCAGCCCACGUCCACGCUUUCCUGCCACGUUAGUUCCCCAGCAGGGCUGGGUUUCUGCAGAACCACCUCUGGUCAAAGGUCUCAGAGGGAGCUCAGGUGACACUGGCAGUUGGGCAUGGAGCCAUGAAGCAUGCUGUGUCCCGGGGACCAGCCUGAGCGGAGGAGAUGCCCCUGGAAAGCAACCUUUGAAGCUCCCCUUGUCCUGUGAACCUGGCUUCUCCCCUGUGCGGAAGGUCAUCCGGGUGCCUGGGUCCCUCCAUCUGUCCCAGGUGCUGCUGGUGGGUGGAGCAGAGGGUGUGGGGGGAGGCCCCUCUGGGUGCCAAGCGCAGGUCACCUGGAGCCUCCAGCAUGGCUUAGAAAGAGGAGGGGACCAGGAGAGAGGUGAGGCCACGCUGCCGUCUGCCCACUGUUGGGUGGCCUGGCAGUGCCCAUGGGCACCAGUUGGUCUAGAAAGGAGGAAGUGUGCCCACCCCGCUUUACACACCGGAGUUUACAGUUGUGGUACAUCAGCCCAAAGGCACUGGCGUUGUUGUGCUUCAUCUUCCCCCCCUUAAUUUUCAGAUUUUUUUUUUAACAAAGUAUUUUUUUAGGUGCGGUGACCCAGAAAGGGCCCGUUGGGGUGUGUGUGUGUCCUGAACUCUUCUCCUACAGAACGGAGCCGGCCUGGGUUGAGUCUGGGGUCGCACUGUCCCCAGCUGAGGGCCUUGGGCAAGCUGGGGCGCGCAGCCAGGGUCCCAGCGGGGAGAGGUCGGAGCUCUGAUGCUGGGCCCCCUGUGACUUGUGACUUGUCCCCGGUCCUGGCCUGAGGGAGGCUGGGCAGACUGUAGCCAGCACAGUCCCCUUUACUUUGUACUCUGUGUGUAUGUUUUGGUUUCUGUGUUUUAAUAAAUCCUUUGGGGAAGGGAAUGGCUCAGUGUGGUUUUUAAGGUUCUUACUGAUGGGGGUGGGGAGGUCCCCCAAGCGCCUGUGGGCCCUGGCCUGAAUCCCUUUGGGAGAAGUAGGGCGGAUCCCCAGGGUGACCCCAGUCUCUGACCCCCACCAGGCCCUCCCAUCCCUGUCAUGGCUACGGGCCUGGUUCCAGGGUCGCCCGCACCUGGUGGCCUUGCCCUCCUCUGUGGCACUGCCCCAGAAGAAACGCAGGGGACAGGAGGCGCAGAGGCCAACGGCUUGGGUUUUAUUUGUCAUUCCAUAAAUACGCGGCUGUCCCGGAAGCUGAAGUCCGGUGGUCUCUGCCUGGGGGGACGCAGAUAGUGGAAGAACCACGAUCAUUAGAAAAUGAGAGAGAGAGCGAGUUACGAACAUGGCAGCGGGGUGAGAACAGGACCUGAGCCUUCACCAUGGGCUCGGGGCACGUGGGAGCGGGCUCUGCUCUCCGCGGUGAAGCCUGAGCCCCCGGACUGGGCUCUUCCUAUGUCCAGCUCUCCGGGUGAGGGCCUCGGCCGUGCUUCCGGGAGAGGACAGGGGCAGCAGGAGUCGGGAGGGAGCCGAGGCGGUCCCCUGGCCCAGGCCAAGAGCUUCAGGCUUCCUUGUCUAGCUCUUGGUCUACCAUCCUUCCCCAGAGGCCCCUCCAACGCCUCCCACAUCGGGCUCCCACCCCAGCCUUGUUCUCCCUGCGGUGGCUAUAAAGGAACAGCCCCCGAGCCAGGGUGUGGAGGUGCCAUUCAGAGGCUGCCGGGGUCCUGGAUACCAUGCAUGUGGGCCUCCCGAGGUCCUCCCAGGGUGCUCCCUUUCUUGGGGAAAUGCAGCCAGCAGGGAUUCCACGUUCCCUCGAGUGGCCCCUGGGGAGCAGCAGUCUCCGACCCAGGGCACUAGGCACAUCACGUUCCUCCUCCCCACAGUGGGCAGGGCCGGGUACUACCCGUCAGCCAGGGCCAGGUGACCUGUCCCCAGACAGCCACCUGAGGUCCCCACACAGAGGGGGCGGCUACAGCCUGGUGGCCUCUGCUUAGAGGGACACUGCCCCCUCUGGACACUGACAGGGUGGCUUCUGGUUGAAGCUCAUGGCAGAGCUUGGUGGAGAAGAGCCCCAGGGUCUGGUCCAGGGGCAGUGUGGGGGUUCUGGACUCCAGGGCCGGCCGGCCGCCCUGGGAGACGGAGGAAGCCAGGUGCCCUGGCUCCCUCUUCCACGACCACCUCCUCUGCCUGUGUCUCAGUGGGUUUCUUCCAGCCACGGUCCCAGGUCUCCACCCAGCCUGGACAGGGGCAGGGGGAAGCCUGCUGGAAUGUCAGCUCCACCAAAGGGCGUGGCAGGACAGAUGUUCCUGCACCUGCACGGAGGGUGUGGGUGGAUGACACCCACUGGGGUGGAGGAGCGGGGUCCUCCCUGGGGCCAGCUGGUAUAGCUAGGGUAGGGGCAUGGCUUCUGCACAGCCCUGGUCCUACAUAGAGAAGGCUGGGUCCCACACAGGACCGUGGCCAGGCAGCACAUGGCCUCACACCUGUGGGCCACUGGGCUGUCACCCUCUCUUCAGCCCCUUGCUGCUAAGGGUCUGACGCUCUGCCUGAGUGUCCCUCCCUCCCUUCUGACCAUCCUAGGUGAGCGGGUGUGGAAGGGAAUGAACAGCCCGGCCAUCUCUCCUGGGCGCGGGUCCCUGAGUUCUUUUUCCUACAUGGCGUGUGUUGCUGCUUUGGUGCAGCCCCCAGCCCCUGCACCUGCAGCAUGGAAACCCCAGAGACCUUCCCUGAAAGGGGCUGAGCAUGGCCUCUUCAGAACCCAAGCCAUCACCCUGGCGCGGGCAGGGAGUGUUAGAGGAGGGACCCUGCUAACCUAGAGGAACACAGUCAAGUGCGCGGGGCCCGGCCUGCUCCCCUGCCCGCCAUGUGGCCUGCAGCCAUGGUCCAGGUCAUAGUGCUUGGCAUCGGCCUUCUGGGUCAGGACAGAGGGGCCUGCUCCCCAGGGCUCCUUCCCAAGUGCCCUGGCCUCCUGGCAGGGGCUCUUUGAUUGUGUACAGGGUUGAACACAACGGGAUGAUUAGCCAGAAAUCAGAUCCCCAAAUUUCUGUGGGUCCCCAACCACACACCCAAUCCCCUGGGGUCCCUGCCCCUGCCAGCAAGGGUUAAGGUGGGCCCAAGGGCCAGCUGGUAGCCAUGACCCUGCCAAGGCCCAGUGGGCACAGGGCUGGAUCGGGGUGGGAGAGAGUGGUGGAGGUGCCUGGGGUCAGGGCCCAGCAAUGUGCCUGGAGCCCAUGGGAAGAGGGGGACUGGAGAAACUCCAAGGGGAGGCCCCACCCUGCCCACUGGGGCCCUGGCAGAGGGGCCCCCAGGAAGUGCCAGACCACUUCCCCAGGUCUGGGGUUCUCGGCAGAGGAGAGGCCCACCCUGCCUGACCUGAGGACCCAGCCAGGUCUUGGCCUGACCUUGGCUUUGGGAGUCUCCAUGAAAGGCUGGGUACAAACUGGGUUUCUUCCCCGAGGAGGAGCUGCGCAGGCUACGGCUGUCCCCGGAGACCUGACAGCGUCCGGCAAAGCAGCGGGUGGUGUCUGAAGGCAACCGGCAGGUCGUGUCCGGUGGUGUUUGGGCACGGCGGGUUCUCUCAGAUGCAAACCCACUCUGCACUUGGUGUGGAAACAGCAUAAGCAGCGAACAGAUGAGGAGGGGCCGGAAACUGUCCUGGUGGGCAGCGGGACAACUUAGGAUCUGUAGUCCUUUUGCUGUAGGGUUUGUUGCCCAGAAUGCUGUCGAUCUCAUGGACAAUGGAAGAUGACAGUUUGGGAAGGACCUGUACACAAGGACACAGCUAGUCAGACUCUUGCCCCUGUCUGGCCGGGCCUUUGGGGAGGCGCUGACACUUCACGGCACCCUGUGGCUGCCCUGGCUGUGGUCCUCACAUCUGGGCUCCACAUGCCGCACAGCAGACCUGGCGGCUUUGCAUUGCCGAGAGUCCUGGUCUGGAUGCCCUCCUUCCAGCUCCCGGGACUCUGGAGCCUUCCGGAAGUGGGGGCAGUGGUGAUGCAGGGUCCGCAGGCCUGCCUUCCAGGUCCUGGACUGCUCUCCCAGCUGCCUUCCCCUGGGUGACAGCACAUCAGCCUUCUAGAUGACAAGAACCCCGGUGAUGGACUGCUUUGGAUCCAGUCACGGCUCCCAUCCCG